Molecule: ribosomal RNA, 220 nt
Filed under: uncultured eukaryote
Lineage: Eukaryota
Description: partial 18S ribosomal RNA
Rfam family: Eukaryotic small subunit ribosomal RNA
Source: RNAcentral
GGAAAUCUCGCCAGGCCCGGACACUGGAAGCUCUGAUAGCUCUUUCUUGAUUCGGUGGGUGGUGGUGCAUGGCCUUUCAUAGUUGGUGGAGUGAUUUGUCUGGUUAAUUCCGAUAACAAACGAGACUCUGUCCUGCUAAAUAGUGACGCGGUUCAUCGAACCGUGGGCCACUUCUUAGAGGGACUAUCGGAUUCAAACCGAUGGAAGUGUGAGGCAAUAA